GGGCUGUCCUGUUUAUAUCAAAAAUACUGAAGGACAUAAGCUAAGUACUAGGUUAGAUAAAUGCAGGUUUGUAGAUUAUCCUAAGAAGAGUAUAGGAUACUAUUUUUACCAUCCUACUCAAUAAAAGAUAUUUGUUAGUAGGCAUGCCACUUUUUUUGGAGAAAGAGUUCAUUUAAGAAGGGGGCAGUGGGAGGACAGUUGAACUUAAGGAAGUUCAAGACCUACAAUCUAUCCAGAAGCAACAUGUGAAAAGUCCACAAGUUGAUCCUCAACCAGAUGUGCCCAUUAUUGAGGCACAGCCACAACACACACCUCCUCU
RNAcentral lists this long non-coding RNA (319 nucleotides) under Elaeis guineensis (African oil palm). RNAcentral describes it as "long non-coding RNA (EGUI_LNC043996)". Lineage: Eukaryota; Viridiplantae; Streptophyta; Magnoliopsida; Arecales; Arecaceae. The record is from RNAcentral.